This 65-nucleotide transfer RNA is filed under the name Dipodomys ordii (Ord's kangaroo rat). It matches the Rfam family "tRNA". From Rfam's summary of the family: Transfer RNA (tRNA) molecules are approximately 80 nucleotides in length. Their secondary structure includes four short double-helical elements and three loops (D, anti-codon, and T loops). Lineage: Eukaryota; Metazoa; Chordata; Mammalia; Rodentia; Heteromyidae. The record is from Rfam by way of RNAcentral.
GGAGGCUCAGUGGUAGAGUGCUUGCCUUGCAUGCAUGAGGACCUGGGUUCAAUACCUCAGCACCA